This 403-nucleotide ribosomal RNA is filed under the name uncultured bacterium. RNAcentral describes it as "partial 16S ribosomal RNA". It matches the Rfam family "Bacterial small subunit ribosomal RNA", at positions 28 to 526 of the family's 1533-position model. The record is from RNAcentral.
GACGAACGCUGGCGGCGUGCCUAAUACAUGCAAGUCGAACGCAGUGGGGACGGGUGAGUAACAUGUGGGUAACCUCCCAUCAGAGGGGAUAACACUUGGAAACAGGUGCUAAACCGAUACUGAUGGAUGGACCCGCGGUGCAUUAGCUAGUUGGUGAGGUAACGGCUCACCAAGGCCACGAUGCAUAGCGGAGCUGAGAGGUUGUUCGGCAACACUGGGACUGAAACACGGCCCAGACUAAUAAGGGAGGCAGCAGUAGGGAAUCUUCGGCAAUGGUCGAAAAUCUGACCGGGCAACGCCGCGUGGGUGAAGAAGUUUUUCGGAUCGUAAAACUCUUUUGUUGGAGAAGCGGUAUUUAACCAGAAAGCCACGGCUAACUACGUGCCAGCAGCCGCGGUAAUAC